ACCAGACUCCUACGGGAGGCAGCAGUAGGGAAUCUUCCACAAUGGGCGAAAGCCUGAUGGAGCAACGCCGCGUGGGUGAAGAAGGUCUUCGGAUCGUAAAACCCUGUUGUUAGAGAAGAAAGUGCGUGAGAGUAACUGUUCACGUUUCGACGGUAUCUAACCAGAAAGCCACGGCUAACUACGUGCCAGCAGCCGCGGUAAUACGUAGGUGGCAAGCGUUAUCCGGAUUUACUGGGUGUAAGGGCGUGCAGCCGGGCUGACAAGUCAGAUGUGAAAUCCCGCGGCUCAACCGCGGAACUGCAUUUGAAACUGUCAGUCUUGAGUACCGGAGAGGUCAUCGGAAUUCCUUGUGUAGCGGUGAAAUGCGUAGAUAUAAGGAAGAACACCAGUGGCGAAGGCGGAUGACUGGACGGCAACUGACGGUGAGGCGCGAAAGCGUGGGGAGCAAACAGGAUUAGAUACCCGAGUA
This 469-nucleotide ribosomal RNA is filed under the name uncultured bacterium. RNAcentral describes it as "bacterial SSU rRNA". It matches the Rfam family "Bacterial small subunit ribosomal RNA", at positions 330 to 792 of the family's 1533-position model. The record is from RNAcentral.